GACGAACGCUGGCGGCGUGCUUAACACAUGCAAGUCGAACGGAAAGGCCUCUUUCGGGGGGUACUCGAGUGGCGAACGGGUGAGUAACACGUGAGUAACCUGCCCUUGACUUUGGGAUAACUUCAGGAAACUGGGGCUAAUACCGGAUAGGAGCUCCUGCUGCAUGGUGGGGGUUGGAAAGUUUCGGCGGUUGGGGGUGGACUCGCGGCUUAUCAGCUUGUUGGUGGGGUAGUGGCUUACCAAGGCUUUGACGGGUAGCCGGCCUGAGAGGGUGACCGGCCACAUUGGGACUGAGAUACGGCCCAGACUCCUACGGGAGGCAGCAGUGGGGAAUAUUGCACAAUGGGUGGAAGCCUGAUGCAGCAACGCCGUGGGCGGGAGGACGGCCUUCGGGUUGUAAACCGCUUUCGCUCAUGACGAAGCUUUGUGUGACGGUAGUGGGUAAAGAAGCACCGGCUAACUACGUG
Molecule: ribosomal RNA, 467 nt
Filed under: uncultured bacterium
Lineage: Bacteria
Description: partial 16S ribosomal RNA
Rfam family: Bacterial small subunit ribosomal RNA
Source: RNAcentral